ACGGGAGGCAGCAGUGGGGAAUAUUGCACAAUGGGCGCAAGCCUGAUGCAGCGAUGCCGCGUGAGGGAAGAAGGUUUUCGGAUUGUAAACCUCUGUCAUCGGGGACGAUAAUGACUGUACCCGAGAAGGAAGCUCCGGCUAACUACGUGCCAGCAGCCGCGGUAAUACGUAGGGAGCGAGCGUUAUCCGGAAUUACUGGGUGUAAAGGGAGUGUAGGCGGGACUGUAAGUCAGAUGUGAAAUAUGCCGGCUCAACUGGCAGACUGCAUUUGAAACUGCGGUUCUUGAGUGAAGUAGAGGUAAGCGGAAUUCCUAGUGUAGCGGUGAAAUGCGUAGAUAUUAGGAGGAACAUCAGUGGCGAAGGCGGCCUGCUGGACAUUAACUGACGCUGAGGAGCGAAAGUGUGGGGAGCAAACAGGAUUAGAUACCCUGGUA
RNAcentral lists this ribosomal RNA (434 nucleotides) under uncultured Ruminococcus sp. RNAcentral describes it as "partial 16S ribosomal RNA". It matches the Rfam family "Bacterial small subunit ribosomal RNA", at positions 341 to 792 of the family's 1533-position model. Lineage: Bacteria; Bacillati; Bacillota; Clostridia; Eubacteriales; Oscillospiraceae. The record is from RNAcentral.